Molecule: ribosomal RNA, 253 nt
Filed under: uncultured bacterium
Lineage: Bacteria
Description: partial 16S ribosomal RNA
Rfam family: Bacterial small subunit ribosomal RNA
Source: RNAcentral
AACGUAGUACGCAAGCGUUAUCCGGAGUUACUGGGCGUAAAGCGCGGGCAGGCGGCUCGAUGCGUCUGAUGUGAAAUCUCCUCGCUCAACGGGGAGAGGCCAUUGGAAACGGUCGAGCUGGAGGGCAGUAGAGGCAGGCGGAAUUCCGGGUGGAGUGGUGAAAUGCGUAGAGAUCCGGAGGAACACCAGAGGCGAAGGCGGCCUGCUGGGCUGCACCUGACGCUGAGCCGCGAAAGCCAGGGGAGCGAACGGG